RNAcentral lists this non-coding RNA (24 nucleotides) under Arabidopsis thaliana (thale cress). Lineage: Eukaryota; Viridiplantae; Streptophyta; Magnoliopsida; Brassicales; Brassicaceae. The record is from RNAcentral.
GGAAUCGUGUUGGCGCUACUAUUC